This 1875-nucleotide unclassified non-coding RNA is filed under the name Hevea brasiliensis (rubber tree). Lineage: Eukaryota; Viridiplantae; Streptophyta; Magnoliopsida; Malpighiales; Euphorbiaceae. The record is from RNAcentral.
CGAUAAAUUAUAAUCUAUAAUGUUUAUUUUAUUGUUUUUGACAAAAUAGUUUGAAGUUCUAAAAGUUGAAGUGACAAAAUCGUUUCUUCCAUAGAACUUGAUCGAUGGAAAAUGAAAAUCCCUACCUCUGAAUAACCAACCCAAAACUCAUCAUUUUCCAUAGUAGUCGGUGAACUUUAGAUCGUGCAAAUACGAUUUCAAGCAACGAUAAGACUGAUAUCAGCUCGAUGUUGCGAUUCAACUGAAACUCCUUCAUGCUUAGUGAAAAAUAAUGAUGUCUCGGGAAAAAUUUAGAAUUGCAACACAUUGUAUCUCUCUUGCUGGUAAAAAUCAUGUUUAGAUCAGAUGUGUUUCAAAACCUCUCCCAGAACUAGGCCCCAUUGAGUCCAGUGACUGCCACCCUGCAUUCCAGAAUUGAAGAAGCAGCAAAAUUCAAGUUGUGUUGUGCCAAAUAGAUUAACCACCAUUUAGUGUAAUUAUUCAGUUAUUUGAGAUCACACCUCUCCUUCAAUGAAUCAACAUUCAUGGAAGGAAACAACAUCAACCAGACACACCUGGCAAAACACAGCAAAUGGCUCCCUGAGUGGCCCAUCACAUGACAGUUCACUUGUACUCCCAUCAAUGAAGGUUCCAUCAGCAAAGAUCACCUCUGAUGCAUAUCCAGUAGUUGAGCCAGCAACUGGCUUAGUGAAUGAACCCACUGGUGAGCUUCUCUGUACAGCCUCACAGAAUGCAAGAAGAUGUUCACGGCUUCCAAGUUGCACUGCCUGGACUGUAUCAUGACGGGCAAUGCGAGGUAGAGGCUGCACCUUAUACCCUCUAGAUGCCAUGACUUCAGCGAUCAGAAAGGUUCCCUUGAUUGCCUCACCAACCAUUUGAGGUGAAAGGAACAGCCCCUGAAAAUAAGUUCGCAUGAUAUCACCAGGGGUUGAGCCACAUUCCAUGCCAAGCCCUGGUGCAGAGAGACGAGCUGCUGCUGCUUCUACCCAUUUUUUCCUCCCUGCAACAUAUCCACCACAUGGUGCAAUGGUUCCACCUGGAUUUUUAAUCAAACUGCCUGCAAUCAGAUCUGCACCCACCAUUGGAGGUUCAAUUUUCUCAACAAAUUCACCAUAGCAAUUAUCCACCAUGACCAAGCAGUUAGGAUUCUGCAUCUUGAUCAUCUCUAUAGCCCUCCCUAUCUCAUUUACACUUAAACUUCGACGCCAUGAAUAACCACAUGACCUCUGAAUGAGAGCACAUCUUGUAUGAGGUUUCAAAGCACUCAUAAGUGCAUCCCAGUCAAGUCCACCAUCUUCAGCCAGUGGAACUUCUCGGUACUCCACUCCAAAAUCUUUCAGGGAACCUAAUCCAUGAGAGUCCCUCUUUCCAAUAACUUCCUCUAAGGUGUCAUAAGGAGCACCAGCAACUCAUCCCCUGGCCUCAAGAAAGCAAACAAUGCACAAGUGAUAGCAUGGGUUCCUGAGAAAAACUGUGAGCGAACUAUUGCUGAUUCAGCUCCUACAAUUUCAGCAAAAGCUUGGUCAAGUGCCUCACGUCCCCCAACUUCAUCAUGACCAUAGCCAGUAGAUCCACCAAAGUGAUGAGAUCCAAUCCGAGCAUUCUGGAAAGCUUUAAGGACACGAGAAGUAUUGCACGCCACCAAAUAAUCCACAGCUCUGAAUUCUGCAUGCAAGGAAUCUAGGGCUUUCACAACCUCAGGAACAAAUGGAUUGUCAUGGCGGUGGAAAGAAACUUGAGUUCUUGAACAAGCUUUAACGGGCAUGAAAACGCUCACCGAUUGCCCAGGAUAAGCAAGAGUGGCGCAGCACAAGGCCUGCAUCUUCAUUACUCGGUUCCAGUGUUAGGAGCUGUAGGAGCCUGGAGGGACUUGUA